Molecule: ribosomal RNA, 426 nt
Filed under: uncultured bacterium
Lineage: Bacteria
Description: bacterial SSU rRNA
Rfam family: Bacterial small subunit ribosomal RNA
Source: RNAcentral
GGGCCCGCACAAGCGGUGGAGCAUGUGGUUUAAUUCGAUGAUACGCGAGGAACCUUACCAGGGCUUAAAUGUAGUAUGACCGGUCUAGAAAUAGGCCUUCCCUUCGGGGCAGAUUACAAGGUGCUGCAUGGUUGUCGUCAGCUCGUGCCGUGAGGUGUUAGGUUAAGUCCUGCAACGAGCGCAACCCCUAUUCUUAGUUGCCAGCGGUUCGGCCGGGGACUCUAAGAAGACUGCCAGCGCAAGCUGAGAGGAAGGUGGGGAUGACGUCAAAUCAUCACGGCCCUUACGUCCUGGGCUACACACGUGCUACAAUGGUACAGACAGAGGGCAGCCACCUGGCGACAGGGAGCGAAUCCCAAAAAGUGCGUCGUAGUCCGGAUCGGAGUCUGCAACUCGACUCCGUGAAGUCGGAAUCGCUAGUAAUCG